UACCAGCUCUCCGAGUGGUAGGGAUGUUUAUUGGGCUUAAAGCGUCCGUAGCCGGCUUAGCAAGUCUCCUGUUAAAUUCAGCGACCUAAUCGUUGAGCCGCGGGAGAUACUACUAGGCUAGGAGGCGGGAGAGGUCAACGGUACUUCCGGGGUAGGGGUGAAAUCCUAUAAUCCCGGGAGGACCACCAGUGGCGAAGGCUGUUGACUAGAACGCGCUCGACGGUGAGGGACGAAAGCUGGGGGAGCGAACCGGAUUAGAUACCCGGGUAGUCCCAGCUGUAAACGAUGCGAGCUAGGUGUUGGGGUGGCUACGUGCCACUUCAGUGCCGCAGGGAAGCCAUUAAGCUCGCCGCCGUGGGGAGUACCGGCCGCAAGGCUGAAACUUAAAGGAAUUGGCGGGGGAGCACCACAAGGCGUGAAGCUUGCGGUUC
This 431-nucleotide ribosomal RNA is filed under the name uncultured archaeon. RNAcentral describes it as "bacterial SSU rRNA". It matches the Rfam family "Archaeal small subunit ribosomal RNA", at positions 474 to 903 of the family's 1478-position model. The record is from RNAcentral.